UAUAAUAAAGUAUAUUUAUGAAAAAUGAAAUAUUUAAAUGAAUAUUUCUGAAUAAUGGUUUUAUGUGUAAAAAGAGAUAAGUAAAGAAAAAAUUACAUGAAUAAAAUAAGUUAUGAACUUAUUAAAUAAGAAAUUAUUUGGGGAUUAGAAUUAAUUAAUUAAAUUAAAUUAAUAUUGUAUAGAGUUAAUUCUAGAGUUAGGAUUUUAUUAAUUAAGAGAAUUAAUAUUUUGAUCCUAACUAGAUUCGACAAGUUGUCGAGCUAUCGAGUCGGAGGACCAAGGGAAUUAACGGAGUUGUUUAAAGGAGCAUUGACGGAGUAAUACCGUAGUUAAACGGUUUCUGAAAGCUGGUCCGAUUUUGAUGAAGGCUUCCGAACGUUUAUUUCUCGGAAGUCUGCUUUGAUAAAAGACUGUAAAGAAGGUUUUAAGUUCUAGUUGUCCGCAGUAGAUUAGUAUAGUCUUAUUGUAAUCAAAUGUUUUAAAGCGCAUUUAAACUCUGA
Molecule: long non-coding RNA, 500 nt
Organism: Mercurialis annua (annual mercury)
Lineage: Eukaryota; Viridiplantae; Streptophyta; Magnoliopsida; Malpighiales; Euphorbiaceae
Exons: 2
Source: RefSeq, a predicted model, not a curated record